AGGGAAUAUAUUUUAUUAGAAUCAUUUACACAGUUACAAAAAUAAAACAGACCAGCUUUCAUCAUGCAAGCUUUCUCUCAGGUCUCUCAAGCUUUCUUUUCCCAGGGGAGAGCCAUGACCCAUGGCAACCACAAAGAAUGUGAGAAAAUAAUGGGAUACUGAAAUUCAGUGGAUUAUUCAUGCACAUUUGAAAUAUUAAGUAGCAGGAUGGCUGUUGACUAGCACAGGUUUUGGCCAGGAGAAGAGGGCAGCCAGCUGCCUGCCAGGGGUUCUCCAAAGGCUGGUGGGAAUGAACCACACUGUGAUGAGCAGAGCAGACCCUCCUGUGACUGACCAAGCUGCAACUGGGAGCCCAUGUGUCUGGGACACCAACAGCAGAGGAUCAAGCACUGCCCAGGUUCCCAGGCUCCCAGAAUUUUCCCAACAUAUCAAUGGCAGCACACAACUUUGCUCACAUCCCUGAUGAAAGUCCUGUUAAUGAGCAAAGCUGCCUGGCUUGGUGAGCCUGCAAAGGCCUCACUUGUGUUAAGGCUGAGCUAGGAGCUUGUAAGCAGUUACUGCUGCAAAGUGCACAGCUAUGGGGCCCUUUGGGGGUUUUAGAAUUCUGAAAAAAAAUACUUUGCAAGACAUAAUGUUAUUUUUUCCAGCUGUUCACAGAACUUGCCACAUCUCUACAGAGCAACUUCUUUGAAAGAGUAUGAAAGCCCUUAUAGUCAGCCUCUAGCACACCAAGGGAAAUGCUCUCUUCCUGCUGAGAUAAAGGUCUAGUGGCACAUGAAGAAAGGCCUAUGCUCCCCUGGAGAAAUGACAAAACCCAGUGCAUUAGUAUUGCUCUGGCUGAGCAGAGGCCAUUGCAACUGCCCUGCUUCAUUCUGUAUUCUCUUUUUUUGUCAUCUAUACAAAGGGAAAGAUGAUGAAAGCAUAGACCAGACCUGCUCCCACAAUCAAGUCAAACAUGAGUAUGGAAGAAGAGCUUGUGCCUGAUUUUGAAUGCCUGCUGAGAAAGAGAUCUGCACAUGGAAGUUGGAAAACACUUGGUCUGAUCUCAAAGAUGGACAUGAGAUACUUCUCCUGGAACGACAAGGAAGUUUUCUUACCACAGCCAACACAAUUGAGCUGAGAGGUUUGGCAGCCCACACUAAUCCCAUCACUUCUUUGGGGAAGUGCUCUUUGAGCAGAGCAUGGCAACCUGCUGAGCAACAUCCAUGGCAGAAACAGCUCACAG
RNAcentral lists this long non-coding RNA (1225 nucleotides) under Chloebia gouldiae (Gouldian finch). RNAcentral describes it as "Erythrura gouldiae (Gouldian finch) lncRNA (ENSEGOG00005007138.1)". Lineage: Eukaryota; Metazoa; Chordata; Aves; Passeriformes; Passeridae. The record is from RNAcentral.